RNAcentral lists this transfer RNA (77 nucleotides) under Clostridia bacterium. RNAcentral's name for it is "tRNA-Gln". It matches the Rfam family "tRNA". From Rfam's summary of the family: Transfer RNA (tRNA) molecules are approximately 80 nucleotides in length. Their secondary structure includes four short double-helical elements and three loops (D, anti-codon, and T loops). The record is from RNAcentral. Lineage: Bacteria; Bacillati; Bacillota; Clostridia.
AUGAAGGUGUCGCCAAGAGGUAAGGCACGGGACUUUGACUCCCGUAUCCGCCGGUUCGAAUCCGGACAUCCAUGCCA